This 548-nucleotide ribosomal RNA is filed under the name Russula sp. RNAcentral describes it as "partial small subunit ribosomal RNA". It matches the Rfam family "Bacterial small subunit ribosomal RNA", at positions 361 to 952 of the family's 1533-position model. The record is from RNAcentral. Lineage: Eukaryota; Fungi; Basidiomycota; Agaricomycetes; Russulales; Russulaceae.
AUAUUAGUCAAUGCUCAAAAGAGUGAACUAGCUAACUGAAAUCAAUAAUAAUAAUUGAUAACAUAAGGGAAAAUAAUGAUCUUACCUUAUUAUUAGUGUCGUCCAAAACUGGUGCCAGAAGACUCGGUAAGGCCAGAGACACAAACGUUAAUCGUCUUAAUCAGGCGUAAAGGGUUUGUAGGCGGCUUUAAAAUUUAUUUUUUAUAAAAUAAAAAAAGUAAAGAAUAAAAGCUAGAAUCAAAUAGAGGAUAUAUUAAAUAAUGCUUAGAGUAGGUCUGAUAUCCUUAGAUACUAAGUAGAAUAUUAAAGGUGAAAGCUUUUUUCCAUUAAUGAUUGACGCUCAGAAACGAAGGUGAGGAUAGGAAAUAGGAUUAGAUACCCAAAAUACCCCUCUCUGUCAACGAUGAAUGGUAGUUAUUAGUAAAAAAAAAUUAUUAAUGGCAAUGUUAACACGAUAACCAUUCCGCCUUGUGAGUACUACUGCAAAGUUGAAAACAAAAAAAUUAGUCGGUUUCGGAGCAAACGAAGUGAAGCAUGUUAUUUAAUUC